AGCAGCAUGGCGCAGUUGGAAGCGCGCGGGGCCCAUAACCCCGAGGUCACUCGAUCGAAACGAGUUGCUGCUA
RNAcentral lists this transfer RNA (73 nucleotides) under Laccaria bicolor S238N-H82. RNAcentral describes it as "tRNA-iMet (CAT) (tRNA-iMet-CAT-2 1 to 5)". The record is from RNAcentral. Lineage: Eukaryota; Fungi; Basidiomycota; Agaricomycetes; Agaricales; Hydnangiaceae.